CGGGAUGCUAAUAAUUAUUUUUCUGCCUCCUUAUCUUGUUCACUUCUUGUUUGCAGUUAGUCUUUAGGAGAUGGCUUCCAUUCGGUGACUGCAGCACUUCAGCAUCUGGCCUUCUUUAUUUACUGAAGUAUGUUGGCCAAGGCUGCCUUGUCUGUGGAUUACCUGGUGGAAAAGCUAACGAUGGGAUCAAGCUGGCUGUGCUGGCAUUUUGAUUUGAUGGAAAACAUUUCUUGGCUCUAAUUUUGAAUGCUUUGUGGCCUCAAGGAGCAACUAAUACAUCAGUUGAUUCGAAUUGAAAUGGUCUGUAACAAGGCUGUCACGGGUCCUGGGGAC
RNAcentral lists this long non-coding RNA (333 nucleotides) under Coturnix japonica (Japanese quail). RNAcentral's name for it is "lncRNA (ENSCJPG00005016383.1)". Lineage: Eukaryota; Metazoa; Chordata; Aves; Galliformes; Phasianidae. The record is from RNAcentral.